Ictidomys tridecemlineatus (thirteen-lined ground squirrel) is the source of this 70-nucleotide non-coding RNA. The record is from Rfam. Lineage: Eukaryota; Metazoa; Chordata; Mammalia; Rodentia; Sciuridae.
GGGGCUGUUGCUCAGUGAUAGUGCUUGCCUAGCAUGUGUGAGGCCCUGGGUUCUACUCCCAGCAUCCCCC